RNAcentral lists this long non-coding RNA (447 nucleotides) under Gallus gallus (chicken). The record is from RNAcentral. Lineage: Eukaryota; Metazoa; Chordata; Aves; Galliformes; Phasianidae.
UUCUCUCCUAAAUCACAGAUAUUCUUAAGCUGGACUUGGCGUUUCUCAAUCUCUUUCCGUGUUGCCUUGCCCCAGGCAAUUUCAGCAUCCAAAUUGCUAGGCAUCCCUUGCACAGCUGAUCUCUUUGUCAAUUCCACAUCUGUUGCUGCAAGCCAUUCUGUCAGCGAAUUAAUUUCUUUUCGUAGCUUCCGGGACAAUUUCAAGCAUUUCUCUAACUCCUGCUUUUUUUCUGUCACCUUCGCACCCAAUUCAUUAUACUGCAACUUCAAAGCUGUAAGCCUUUCAUCCAGUUCUUUUGGGUUCUCUGUCUGCUGCUUUUGAACAAUCUGCCUCCCAGUUUUUAUCACUGUUUCCACUUCAGACUUCACCUCACUCAGGCUUUUAUAUAAUUUCAUGCAGUGGUCCAAAUGUGACUGCACUACUUCCUGCUCAACACUCUUCGUCUCC